RNAcentral lists this transfer RNA (77 nucleotides) under Candidatus Omnitrophota bacterium. RNAcentral describes it as "tRNA-Arg". It matches the Rfam family "tRNA". Rfam says of the family: Transfer RNA (tRNA) molecules are approximately 80 nucleotides in length. Their secondary structure includes four short double-helical elements and three loops (D, anti-codon, and T loops). Further hydrogen bonds mediate the characteristic L-shaped molecular structure. tRNAs have two regions of fundamental functional importance: the anti-codon, which is responsible for specific mRNA codon recognition, and the 3' end, to which the tRNAs corresponding amino acid is attached (by aminoacyl-tRNA synthetases). tRNAs cope with the degeneracy of the genetic code in two manners: having more than one tRNA (with a specific anti-codon) for a particular amino acid; and 'wobble' base-pairing, i.e. permitting non-standard base-pairing at the 3rd anti-codon position. The record is from RNAcentral. Lineage: Bacteria; Pseudomonadati; Candidatus Omnitrophota.
GCGCCUGUAGCUCAGAUGGAUAGAGUAGGUGGCUUCGAACCACUUGGUCGCAAGUUCGAAUCUUGCCAGGCGCGCCA